CUGUUGUAAGAUUCAGCAGGGUCUUUAUCUUUUUAAAAGUAUCACAUUUUUUGUUUUCUUUAUUUUGCAGUAAACAUAAAAGAGAGCAAGAUCAUUCUCGAUCUUCAUCCUCUUCAGCAUCACCUUCUUCUCCCAGUUCUCGAGAAGAAAAGGAGAGUAAGAAGGAAAGAGAAGAAGAAUUUAAAACUCACCAUGAAAUGAAAGAAUACUCAGGCUUUGCAGGAGUUAGCCGACCACGAGGAACCUUUUUUCGAAUUAGAGGCAGAGGAAGAGCCAGAGGAGUUUUUGCUGGGACAAAUACUGGUCCAAACAACUCAAAUACUACUUUUCAAAAGAGACCGAAGGAAGAGGAAUGGGAUCCAGAAUAUACCCCAAAGAGCAAGAAGUACUUCUUGCAUGACGACAGAGAUGAUGGUGUGGAUUAUUGGGCCAAAAGAGGAAGAGGUCGUGGUACUUUUCAACGUGGCAGAGGGCGCUUUAACUUCAAAAAAUCAGGUAGCAGUCCUAAAUGGACUCAUGACAAAUACCAAGGGGAUGGGAUUGUUGAAGAUGAAGAAGAGACCAUGGAAAAU
RNAcentral lists this long non-coding RNA (572 nucleotides) under Homo sapiens (human). Its description in RNAcentral is "non-protein coding lnc-MTFR2-4:6". The record is from RNAcentral. Lineage: Eukaryota; Metazoa; Chordata; Mammalia; Primates; Hominidae.